AGACGUCUACAUUAGAUACCCCUGUAGUCCCAGCCGUAAACUAUGCGCGUUAGGUGUAUCGGUGACCACGAGUCGUCGAGGUGCCGAAGAGAAAUCGUGAAACGCACCACCUGGGAAGUACGGUCGCAAGGCUGAAACUUAAAGGAAUUGGCGGGGAGCACCACAACAGGUGGAGCCUGCGGUUUAAUUGGAUUCAACGCCGGACAUCUCACCGGAUAAGACAGCUGAAUGAUUGUCAAUCUGAAGGUUUUACAUGACUAGCUG
This 264-nucleotide ribosomal RNA is filed under the name uncultured archaeon. RNAcentral describes it as "partial 16S ribosomal RNA". It matches the Rfam family "Archaeal small subunit ribosomal RNA", at positions 714 to 982 of the family's 1478-position model. The record is from RNAcentral.